Carassius gibelio (silver crucian carp) is the source of this 5883-nucleotide long non-coding RNA. RefSeq lists it as uncharacterized. The record is from RefSeq and is a predicted model, not a curated record. The transcript is spliced from 3 exons. Lineage: Eukaryota; Metazoa; Chordata; Actinopteri; Cypriniformes; Cyprinidae.
UAGUCCGACGGGGCGGUUUUUUCUCAACUACCGCCUGCAAGCGAAUGUGCUCUUCGCUGCAUUCCAGUGCAGCUUUGCUCGAGAAUUACUCCAAAUGCAUCGUUAAAAGACGUUUCCUCUUCUCUUAUCUUCCGAGUGACUUGGCAUCAUUGUUUGAAUCCAGCUGAUAUCUACAGUAUGUCCUGUUGUCCUUACGAUGGGCAUCGUGCCAGGUAGAGGUUGCCAUGACUCCCAACGCCACCCCUUUUCUAGCCCCCCCUGGAAGGUGGCAUAUUUUUUCAAUGGAAUGCUCGGCGAAAGGGUUGUAUUUAGACAAAAGAUGUCUACUCAACAUCAGCUGAAUGCUUCUGGGCUCGAGCAGCGUCAUGUGACCCACCGGUGAAGGUUUUGUGAAGGUUCCAGAACAGAAAAGGAGAAACUUGGAAAGCGAUGCUAGUGAGAGUCCUUUCUCUUUUUUUUCCUUCACUUGUUUUUCCCUGCUGAGAAAAUGGCGGACCACACUGACUUUCUUAUUUAACAAAAGUAUAUUGGUGGCACUUUUAUAUGGCAGCCCCGUUUGUUAAUUUUUAAUCUUACGGGUUGUUUUAGUCGGAGUGAAAAUGGUGCUCGAACUGUUUCCGAAACUCUAAAAAAAAGUCAUGAUUCUUUGAAUGAAUGGGUGCAAAAACCACCGCCCACUUCGGAAUGGCUCAAGUGUACCGUGGGUUGAACGUUUACGUCCGAUGAACAUCAGCAAGCAGCACAAAAAUCAGGAGCAGAUAUGGAUACAUCUCCACUGAAACUUGAGCAGGUUAAGCUCUUGGGACCUGGGCAGAGGGCAAAAGCACUCAAUCCCCUGGCUGUGUCCCAACUGAGACGGACGCGGGACGGAUGUCUGUGAGAGAUAAGACAGUGAAACGGUGGACCAGAGCGGAUGCGGCACUGGCGUGUCUGAGAGAUUAAAUGUUCAAUAUGUUCACAUGCCUGAUGAUGAUGAUGAUGGUUUCUAAUGGUUUUUAAAUAAAACUUGACCAUGCACAUCUGCUGAGGUGUUUUUCCUUUGGGAUGAGGGGUGCAGGAGAGGGUCGUCAUGCUAUUCACUUUGUCUGGCUGUCUGGUCGCCACUAAAUGACCUUUAUCGCAUUGGCAACACAAGGAAGGGCCGGUAUUAUCAGUUAUUCCCACACUAAAUCCUGAAUUCAGGAAUCUUUUUUGGUUUCUGCAAAGAUUUUAUUUUAAAUGAAGGUAAAUCAUUUCUAGUGAUGCCCUUGAUAGAAGAUCCCAGCACCUGCACUGUUAUUAAACAAGUCUGCUUGGCUUUAUCCUCAUGUAUCCACCAGAUGUAAUUUUUUGUUUAAUCCAAUAACAUAAAAUCUGUCUGAUUCAUAACCAAAAGAGUCUGUGUAAAAAAAAAACAAGCGACAUAUUGAACCAACAUAUGCUGACACCUUCAUUUACACAAAAAAAACAUUCUAUGAAUAGACUCCAUUACCUCUUGAAGCCCAGACUUUGCUGAUAGAAGAACAUGCGGCUUGCAGAGUACUGCGUUUAUAGGCACGGCAUGCACAGAGAUAUGGAUCUCAGUGUGUCGUCAUGUUGUUUUUGAGCAGAAAUGACAUUGAACUCCAGACGGAUGGUAGUUUUAUGGGGUCCGGUUGGCACAGAGCUGUGGGCUCCUUCCUGUUUUAAAGAGGUAAACUCAUUAAGUCUAACGCCUGGCUUUGUUCUUUAUCUCCCUGGAGUGUUUAACUUUUGAAAACCUAAUUUUGCUAAAUUACCCACAUUAGAAAUGUAGUUUCAAAACAAUUGUUUUCCCCCUAUUGCUCUCUCUCUCUUCCUCUUUCUCUCUCUCUCUAAUUAUAUUUUUCCCCUGCUUGGUUUCACUCCGAACAAUGGCCGAUGCCAACUAAUCAGGCUGGGUCUGUGCCACAAAGCUCCCAGCAACAGCUGAAGCUCUACCAUGCUCAGUGCAUACCAAGCAGUCAGCCACAACCAGCGAGCGCCAGCCUGGUGCCCAAUGCGGGGUCAGACAGUUUUAUUAGGAUCCGUCUGACACUCGGCUCAGGCUGGCAGUGCCAACGCACAGAUAAAAUCUUGUGUGCUGCUCACACUAUUCAUCAGAGCUUGCACAUAAAUACUCCCUCAUCCCACACUCGUUCACAAACACACGUUUACUUAGCUUAUCUAAAUGGGGACAUAACAUAGACUUCUAUUGUUUUAUAUACAGACAGUUAUACACAGAAAACUUUCUGCAUUUUUACAAUUAAAAAAAAAAAAAUUAGGAUGUCCCCAAAAGGUGGUUUUUGGCAAUUUGUCAGGUUUUGUACAAAUCUGUACCCACACACACACACACACUCACAGACCAAUUAAUCGGCUAGAUGAGAAAAGGAACAAAAGUUGGAUCCAGCCAGGAAUUCAUAUUGUUUUAUUUAAUAACCGGCCCGACUUCUGAAUGGUCCAGCAGACAUCAGGGUCUGAUGUCUCAGCCUCACUGACAUGGUUUCAUAUUUAAAUAUUUGGCAGACAGCACAUCGGACUGAGUUUCAUUAGUGUGUAUCAGAUCAAAAAAAGGUUUGUUUUCUGGCUGACGGGUCUGACGAGUAUUUUCAGGCGGACACAGAUGUCCAGAAAGACAGACACACAAAUAGACAUGCCAACAAUGAUUGAGUCAAUGUGAAAUUUUUUAAAAUUAUACACAAAAUGUAUAUGUCUACAUUACCUGUUUAUAAUAAGUUUAUUAAUGGACUGAUAAGUAAUAAUUCAUAUAAUUCUACUAAGCUGUGCAUAAACCUAGUUAAAUUGACUUUGUAUUUAUCCUUAAAAGAAAUGUUUAUUUACUUUUGAAAGAUUAUUAUUUAUUUUUUUCAGACAUAUUUAAUUCAUCUCACUGGACAGCAAGACUUAAAUGCUGAAGAAAUGUAUCGCAGUAUUAAAAUAUGCUUGUACUUUGAAUAUGAAAUGUGUAUUAUAGAAAUGUACACAGAGAAACAAUGUUCAGCAGUAAAUCAAGCAUUUUGAAAUAUAACAUUUUGAAACUAACCUGAUAUCGAAUGGUUUAGUUCACUCAAAAAUCAUGGAGUUGUCCUUGUUAUAGACCUCUAGAAGGAUUCCCUUGAUAAAUGUCAGGAGAUAAAGAUCGGCCACUGAGGAAUUAAAAGAGCCCGCUGAUGGUGUGUGAGUAUGAGUGUGUGUUCUCGCUAACCGCAUGUGGUUUAAAUAAACUUAACAUUUGUGUGGGAUAAAGGUACUGAAAGUAGAUUAAGCACUGAGAGCUCAGGCAGGAGAAGCUGCAGGAGCCGGUGAAUUUACAGGAUUACAGGAAUCUUUCUUCCAUUGGUUGACGGGGAUUGUUGUGGUGCAUGUUAUCAGGGCAGGUCAGUGGAAACAGUGGGUUCUUCUUACUGCUCAGUGCAGGUACAAAUAACAGGUGCAAACACACACAGCCUCUCAGAAUAUCUGCGUACAUCCAGACACCGAAAGAAUGAUGAAUACUGCCACUUCAGCUUAUUAGAACAAAUGCACUUGUUCAUAAUAGAUAUUUAAAAAAUAUUGGUGGGCAAUAUUAGUUUGUUAGUUCCUCAAAAGUAUUAAAGGGGUAUUGAUAAUCUGUGCUGUACAUUCAAAUUGUUUUAAUUCCUGAUUUCACUUGACACUUGUAAAAAACUUGAUUUGAGAUUCUAAUGCCGUUCCAGGCAUCAUAUUGGUUAUUGGCAAUAACAAAAAUAUUUUGGUGAAAUAGAUCAAUUCUCUUUCACAUUUUAAGUCAUAUUACUUAAACAUGCUACUUCCCGUAAGAUUUGUUCAUUCAGAUUAUUGUUAAUAAAUGCAACUGUGUGUUAAACAUUAGGGUGUUUCAUCGUUAUUUGUUGUCACCAUUUUAUUAAAGCAAUUAGCCACUGGAAGCCAUGCAUAAGUCAUACUGAGUUUGUUAGAAAUCCUUUUACCCAGUGUUAAUUUACUGUAUAUGGACCUACAUUUGAUAUACUGGUUUCCAACAUACAUUCUUAAAAAUAAAGGUUCCAAGCAUUGGUUUUCGCAUUGAUGCCAACCAUUUUGGGUUCCUCAAAGAGCCUUUCAGUGACAGAAAAGCGUUAUUUUCUAAAUGUGACAAACAUUUAAAUAAGCUAAAGGAACCUUUUAACACUAUAAAAACCCAGGUGUAUAUGGAAUGGUUCCAUGGAUCUUAAAGGGAAGAGCUCAGUGUGAUAAUGCCGACAUCUCAAAAUGUGCUUUGAUUUAUCAGAGUGGUUACUUCGUCAUUUUCCCCAAUCAUUUGAAAACUGAUUCUAAACUUGUUAACAUGCAUCAAGCAUCAAAAUGGAAGAAAUGAAACUAAUUAAACAGCUACAAAUGAUUGUGUUUUUGCCAUGUGUCCCUUUAGUUGAUAAUCAUAUUUCAAAAAAGAGUUCAUCAGCUUUGUGAUCCAAGAGUUAAAGCUUUGAUAAUAUCCGUCUGCUGGGGUUUGAUUCUUUUUAGACCUGUAGACCGUUUGCUUUGUUCUGAAACGGGGACUUCAUUUGUUACAAUGUUGCAUUUUUCCGCUUGGUUCAGUUUUCACGUUCACAAGGCAACAUUGCAAAGCGUGCCAAACUGCAUUUAUUUAUCACUCACAGAAUCAGACACUGGCUGCUGCAUUUUAUAUAGCAUAUUUCCCAUUAUGAAUUAUGAUCCGGCUUGGUUCUUUGGUCCGUUGGGUCACUAAAAGCGAACUGCUCUAGAGUCCGUUUGCAACUGGGCCGAGACCACCUCUUCAAGGAGGUCUCGGCAUGCUUGAUUCAAACUAAUUAAAUGAGGCAGGUGUGAAAGCACUCUAUAAGUCAGAAACAUAUAUUACAAGAAUCUGAAGAGAAAACAAGGAGUACUUUUGAAAAUGUCAUUAUUUUCAUACAUACAGUACAUCUCUGGGUCCCUAAGCGUAAAGAAAGCAACUCAAUCUCAGAACAGAGUAAUGGCCUGUAAUUGGCCUGCAUCAGUCUAGAGGACGUAUCUCCACACGGCCCGUCACUCUUAAAGUCGUUCCUCCCCGAUUCAUCCUGUCCUGUGUACCCUUUCUCUGUGAUGUCUGCAGUACUGCUGUGGAGGCGUUGCCAAGGAAACGCAGGCUGGCAGCGCGCUGGAGUUAUUGAACCACAACUGGCUUUUUGCUUUAGAGGAUAAUUAGCUUCUGUCUCACAGGUUUCUCUCAGCCGAUGGGACUCUGUUCUGAGCGUCUUCCUCCAGUCAGAGCUUUUAACCCGUCGGAUGGCGGGUAGCUGUGGCCGCAGGUGCUCCUUUUACCUGGACGAAAAACUGUGCGAGCACUCCAGCAAUCCUCAAACACACACACACACACACACACACACACAAACACACACUACCCAGACUUCCUUUUGUUCUUCAACACACAGUGAGCUCUGGCGGAAAUAUAAACCUAUCUGUAUCCUAAAAUGAAGUGUCUCUCUCUUUGUUUCUCUCAUAUUAAAAACAAUAAAUAAAAAUCGCAUUCAAUUUCUGCUGUGAAUGAGUGUCUAAAAUAACACUGAUCGAAUGAAUCUCAUUUAAUAUAAUAUACAGAUAUAAUUAUCUGUAAAAUUUUAAUUGUAUUGCGUUCAUCUAGAUAUUCGAACCGGAAAACAAGAGAAAUGUACUGAUUAAACCUAUAGCUUUCUUUAUUCAGUGCGAGGAAGCAAGUGUGUGUGUAUAAGUAUGCAGUUUCAGCAGGCGAGUCUGACACACAAAUCCGCUCCCGCAUUAAAAGAGGCGGAGAACAGAGACAGAUCCUUUGACCUUCUGCUUUCACACACAGUCCAGUGACACACACACUCCGAUCACAAAUGCACAUUAAUCUUGUUAUCCCUUGCACAUUUGUAUAUUUAAAUGCUGUAAAUGUUUAAGACUUUCUAAUAAAUUGUUGAUAUUAUUGUA